UUAUCACAUCCUUUCAAAAUCCUAACCAUUAUCCUUUCAAAAUCCUAACCAUUCUUUCUUCUCUAUAUAAACCAAAUCUACUCUCUCACUUCACACUCUUAUUUAAAAAAUUUCACUCUUGCCUUAUCAGUUCCCAAACUUCUUCUCCUUCUUUACAUUCUAGUGUUCGAUAAAUAUUUCAAAUCUUAUCAUAGUGUCUAAUCUAUCUUCAUCUUCUCCUUCUCCAGAUAAACCCACACCCAUUUCCAUUCUCCAUUCACCAUCUUUUUCUCAUAACUUAGAAUUAGAAAACCACUUUCCCAUAGUCAAGUUUACCCCAUACUCCUCUCUUAAAAAUAAAAAUCCUUUAACCUCUUAGAAAGAUAAAGAUGCCUCCGCAUCAUAUCCUCAGCCAAAGGAUCAAAAUGCUUCACCUAUUUCUGACUUAGUAAUAGAAAAUGGCUCAGAAGAUACUCUAAAACCUUCAGACCAACCUAUUUCUCCAAAGUAAGUUUCAGUCUCCCUAUCUAAGGUUCAGACCCCUAUCUAAAGUUCAGACACCUAAAAAGGCUGGUUCAUUAAAUAAGUCAGGAAGUCUAUAAUAGAUAAAAACAUAUUUGAUGAUGAUUUACCUACUGCAAGGGAAUCUCCUUUAAUAUCCUUAAAAUAAGUGAAUAAAUUACCACUCAGGGCAUGACUACCUUGAGGGAAAAGACUCCUAGAGAUUCUAUCUCUCCUGGCUCUCUUAAAUGGGAUAAUACACCAACUUUGUUAUCUACUAGGAGGAAAAAUGAUCCUCCUAAAGGGGUGGAGAAUAAAACCAUUAUUUUGCCUCUUGUUCUUGAUUUGACUGACAAAGAUGCUAAAGAUAAGGGAACUAUAGAUAGUGAUGACAACAAGCCCCUAUCUUGGAAUAUGUAUAAACAAAGUGUGUUAAUUACUGCAAAGAUGCCUUCUAAGGAAGCCAAGACCCAUAGGACCAGGUUGAGUUCAACGAAAUUGAUGGAGGAUGCCUUGGUGGAAAAUAAAUGCAAUACUAAGAAAAAGAGGAGUUUAAAGAAAAGGGUUGUUGCUGAAGUAAGGUGCUUGUUGAGAAAGUUGUGGUUGUAAAAGAAACUGAGAAAAAAACUAAAAGUGUUGAUGAUGAGACUGAUAGUGAUUUUGAUAGCAUCUUUGGUAGUGAUUGUAAGGAUGACGUUGAUGAUAAUGUGAGAAGUGUGGCUAUUAAAUAAGCUAAGGAAAAGGAAAGUGGUGCCAUUUCCCAAAAAAAGGAAAACCAAAAGGAGUUUUAAUUAAAAACCCAGUGUCUACUGGCAAAGAAAAGAGAAAGAGAGAAGAGGCAAAAAGCUCUGAGGGACUAGGUCCCAGUUUUAAAGCUGUCAUGACUUCCAAAGUUCUUGGGAUUUUAGUUAAAGGAACUGGUCUUAUUGGUAAGGCCUCUACUAUAAAAAGGAGAAAAAGUUAACAAGAGAGGAGAGACAAGAAAUCCUCAAGAUUUAGAAAGUCUUGAGAAAAAGAAUUUUUUAUCCUGUAAUUGCUGUCAUGCCUUGCAUGGUUGAUUUUAUAGAGAAGGUCAAAUUUUAGAGUUGAGAGCAUCUCUUCUAGCCUCCAGUUCCCACUCUACAUAAGAAAGAGGUCAGGAUAUUCUAUUACAACCUCAUCUUCUCUGAUAAUGCUUUAUAUUUGACUACUCAGGUUAAUGAUGUAAGUAUUGCUCUUGAUGAGCUGGUGUUGGAUGAAAUCUUGGGAGUACCUAUUCAAGGGAAUAGGUCCUUGGCUAAUGAAAAAGGAUCUGAAAGUUCUUAAAGGUUUGUGGAAAGUUGGAUGACCUAAGUAUUAAGAAUGUGAGAAAGAAAGGUUGAAAGGAGAGUUUUGGCUCCUUUUGAACUGGUCAACAAAGACUUGCUUCCUGCACUAAGAAAAGAACAACUGUCAUAGGUCUCGACCUAUUCUAUAUGGAGGAAGCGGAGAUACUUCUGCUUUUUUCUGUGCAGUGAUGGGAUUUUAUACUUUUCAACAAUCAACUUGAAGUGGUGAGCCUCCCUCUUUUGGAAGGCUAUUGCUUAUUGGUUUAUCUAUUAUCAUAGACUUUUCUUUGGACUUAUUUUUGGCUAUCGUCGAGGGCAAGUCCCAACUUAAAUUGAUGUGAUUUUAUUAGAGGCUUUGUUGAUUAAUGUGGACUGGUAUUGGUUAUUGAUAUAUCUCAGACUUCUUAAGCUUAUCUUUACC
Capsicum annuum is the source of this 2208-nucleotide long non-coding RNA. RefSeq lists it as uncharacterized. The record is from RefSeq and is a predicted model, not a curated record. The transcript has 2 exons. NCBI's taxonomy places the organism in Eukaryota, Viridiplantae, Streptophyta, Magnoliopsida, Solanales, Solanaceae.